CCUACGGGUGGCAGCAGUGGGGAAUAUUGGGCAAUGGGCGCAAGCCUGAACCAGCAACGCCGCGUGAGGGAAGAAGGCUUUCGGGUUGUACACUUCUUUUCUCAGGGACGAAGCAAGUGACGGUACCUGAGGAAUAAGCCACGGCUAACUACGUGCAAGCAGCCGCGGUAAUACGUAGGUGGCAAGCGUUAUCCGGAUUUACUGGGUGUACAGGGGGUGUAGGCGGGAAAGCAAGUCAGAUGUGAAAACCAUGGGCUCAACCUGUGGCCUGCAUUUGAGACUGUUUUUCUUGAGUACUGGAGAGGCAGGCGGAAUUCCUAGUGUAGCGGUGAAAUGCGUAGAUAUUAGGAGGAACACCAGUGGCGAAGGCGGUCUGCUGGACAGUAACUGACGCUGAGGCGCGAAAGCGUGGGGAGCAAACAGGAGUAGAUACCCGAGUAGUC
Molecule: ribosomal RNA, 443 nt
Filed under: uncultured bacterium
Lineage: Bacteria
Description: partial 16S ribosomal RNA
Rfam family: Bacterial small subunit ribosomal RNA
Source: RNAcentral